UCCUUCCUCUAUGAAGUUUCUCCUGGGAUCCUAGAUCUUUGGACACAGGAACUUGUUGACUAAACUUCAAUCAAAUCAUUGUUAGUCAAUGCAAUCUGAGAAGUUGAUUUUGCAAAUAACAAUAUUGUUUGC
Meleagris gallopavo (turkey) is the source of this 132-nucleotide non-coding RNA. NCBI's taxonomy places the organism in Eukaryota, Metazoa, Chordata, Aves, Galliformes, Phasianidae. The record is from RefSeq and is a predicted model, not a curated record.